GUAGAGAUGCCGACGGGUCGGAACUCUUUGCCGAGGUGGCUGACAAGGUCGAAAGCCUCAGGGGUUCCGCACGAUACAUUAUGCAACUUCAGAGGUCUAAAACAGGAACCCGUACUCCCGUCGAAUGGACACAUUGAAUGCCGGCAUACUGCGGGUGUUGGACGCCGAGCGGCUCACGCCGACGUCUCCCAAGGAUUGAUCACGGAGGCGUCUGUGUCUUCGAAAUCCUUGACGUUGCGUGUGACAAGGAUGAGAUCGUGAACGAUCGCGGUCGCGGCGAUCAACCCGUCGAUAUCGCCGCGGGGGCGUAUUGCCGCGAUGCGGCCCCAUUCGACUGCGAUUUGGUCGGUUAUCGGCAAAAUGCGAUCGCCAUGGUCGUGGCGCAGCUU
This 389-nucleotide small RNA is filed under the name Sinorhizobium meliloti 2011. RNAcentral describes it as "putative ncRNA". The record is from RNAcentral. Lineage: Bacteria; Pseudomonadati; Pseudomonadota; Alphaproteobacteria; Hyphomicrobiales; Rhizobiaceae.